AUGCAGUCGAGCGGUAGCACAGAGAGCUUGCUCUCGGGUGACGAGCGGCGGACGGGUGAGUAAUGUCUGGGAAACUGCCUGAUGGAGGGGGAUAACUACUGGAAACGGUAGCUAAUACCGCAUAACGUCGCAAGACCAAAGUGGGGGACCUUCGGGCCUCAUGCCAUCAGAUGUGCCCAGAUGGGAUUAGCUAGUAGGUGGGGUAAUGGCUCACCUAGGCGACGAUCCCUAGCUGGUCUGAGAGGAUGACCAGCCACACUGGAACUGAGACACGGUCCAGACUCCUACGGGAGGCAGCAGUGGGGAAUAUUGCACAAUGGGCGCAAGCCUGAUGCAGCCAUGCCGCGUGUAUGAAGAAGGCCUUCGGGUUGUAAAGUACUUUCAGCGAGGAGGAAGGCAUUAAGGUUAAUAACCUUAGUGAUUGACGUUACUCGCAGAAGAAGCACCGGCUAACUCCGUGCCAGCAGCCGCGGUAAUACGGAGGGUGCAAGCGUUAAUCGGAAUUACUGGGCGUAAAGCGCACGCAGGCGGUCUGUUAAGUCAGAUGUGAAAUCCCCGGGCUCAACCUGGGAACUGCAUUUGAAACUGGCAGGCUCGAGUCUUGUAGAGGGGGGUAGAAUUCCAGGUGUAGCGGUGAAAUGCGUAGAGAUCUGGAGGAAUACCGGUGGCG
Molecule: ribosomal RNA, 670 nt
Filed under: uncultured bacterium
Lineage: Bacteria
Description: bacterial SSU rRNA
Rfam family: Bacterial small subunit ribosomal RNA
Source: RNAcentral